AAAAUUUUAGUUUAAAAUUAAAAUUUAAUAUUUACAAUAUUAAGAUAUAAAUUAUAUAAAUUUUA
This 65-nucleotide transfer RNA is filed under the name Histeromerus sp. QL-2013. Its description in RNAcentral is "tRNA-Val". The record is from RNAcentral. Lineage: Eukaryota; Metazoa; Arthropoda; Insecta; Hymenoptera; Braconidae.